This 500-nucleotide ribosomal RNA is filed under the name Cryptocephalus moraei. RNAcentral describes it as "partial 12S ribosomal RNA". Lineage: Eukaryota; Metazoa; Arthropoda; Insecta; Coleoptera; Chrysomelidae. The record is from RNAcentral.
ACAUAUUCUAGAGCCUAAUUCAAUAUACUUUAAUAAUAUAAUUACUAUCAAAUCUUAAAAAAAUAAAAUUUUCAACAUUAAAUUUAUAAAUAUAACCCACCUCUUCUUCUAAAAGCUGCACCUUGAUUUGAUCUAAUAUAAAAUUUUAUAUAAAGAAAAUUAAAUUUCUUAAGAAAUAUUCAUUACAACAACGAUAUACAAGCCUAUUUAAAAGUAAAAUAAAUUGUGGGCUAUCAAUUACAGGGCAGGUUCCUCUGAUAGGUUAAAAUACCGCCAAGAUAAUUAAUUUUCAAGCUCUUAACUAAUACUAAUUCGGUGUUUAAAACUACAGUUUUAAUAACAGGGUAUCUAAUCCUGGUUUAAAAUAAAACUUUUUUAGAUCAAUUAAUUUAUUAAUUUAAUUUUUAUAAUAAAAUUUCACCUCUCAAUAUAAAUUUAUUAAUAACUAAAAACUUAACUACAAACCAAUAAAAUUAAAUUACUCUUCUUGUAUAACCGCA